ACUGGCUUUAUAUAGAGCUUAGAGUUGACCCAGCAGUGAGAGUCAUGGCCCAAACUUUCCUUGAAACAUUAAUUUGAGAAGAAAUUUAAUUAAGAAAGGAUUUGGCCAUUGAUGACUGCUUUAAUCUAGAGACUUGUUGUGAGGUUGAAAUUUCAAUUUUAAUUAAGACUUGUAUGAACUUGCACUUCAAUGUGAACACUUAAUGUUGAGAGAGAGAGAGAGAGAG
This 226-nucleotide unclassified non-coding RNA is filed under the name Hevea brasiliensis (rubber tree). The record is from RNAcentral. Lineage: Eukaryota; Viridiplantae; Streptophyta; Magnoliopsida; Malpighiales; Euphorbiaceae.